GACGAACGCUGGCGGUGUGCUUAACACAUGCAAGUGGUGCGACGAACCAGAGCUUGCUCUGGGGCAAAGCCGCGAACGGGUGAGUAACACGUGGGUAAUCUACCCCGAUGACCGGGACAACCCGAGGAAACUCGGGCUAAUACCGGAUGUGGUACGGAGACAUAAGUCUCUUUACUAAAGGUAGCUUCGGCUUCCGCAUUGGGAGGGGCCCGCGGCCCAUUAGCUAGUUGGUGGGGUCAAGGCCUACCAAGGCAACGAUGGGUAGCUGGUCUGAGAGGACGAUCAGCCACACUGGGACUGAGACACGGCCCAGACUCCUACGGGAGGCAGCAGUGGGGAAUCUUGCGCAAUGCGCGAAAGCGUGACGCAGCAACACCGCGUGAGGGAAGACGGCCUUAGGGUUGUAAACCUCUUUCAGAUGGGACGAAGGUGAUGCGGUGAAUAGCCGAUGUCAUUGACGGUACCGCCAGAAGAAGCUCCGGCUAACUACGUGCCAGCAGCCGCGGUAAU
Molecule: ribosomal RNA, 510 nt
Filed under: uncultured bacterium
Lineage: Bacteria
Description: bacterial SSU rRNA
Rfam family: Bacterial small subunit ribosomal RNA
Source: RNAcentral